Labrus bergylta (ballan wrasse) is the source of this 351-nucleotide non-coding RNA. Lineage: Eukaryota; Metazoa; Chordata; Actinopteri; Labriformes; Labridae. The record is from the annotation of a RefSeq genome assembly.
AUGAUGGACUAUAGGACAGGACUGCUGCUUUUUACUGUCUGCUGGGCAGGUGUUGAUGGUCAGACUCUGACAGAAUCUGAAGCAGUGGUUAAAAGGCCUGGAGAAUCCCACAGACUGACCUGUUCAGCCUCUGGAUUCACAUUCAGCAGCUACUGGAUGGCUUGGGUCAGACAGGCUCCUGGAAAAGGACUGGAGUGGAUUGCUGAAAUUAGUAGCAGUGGUGGUAGCAGCCAAUACUACUCUAAUUCAGUCAAAAGCCGGUUCACCAUCUCCAGAGACAACAGCAGACAGCAGCUGUAUCUGCAGAUGAACAGUCUGCAGACUGCAGACACUGCAGUGUAUUACUGUGCC